RNAcentral lists this ribosomal RNA (372 nucleotides) under uncultured organism. RNAcentral's name for it is "bacterial SSU rRNA". It matches the Rfam family "Bacterial small subunit ribosomal RNA", at positions 526 to 896 of the family's 1533-position model. The record is from RNAcentral.
CGGAGGGUGCGAGCGUUGUCCGGAAUCACUGGGCGUAAAGGGCGCGUAGGCGGCGCGGGUAGUCAUCGGUGAAAGCUCAGGGCUCAACUCUGAGUCGGCCGGUGAUACUCCCGUGCUCGAGCACUGUAGAGGCAGGUGGAAUUCCGGGUGUAGCGGUGGAAUGCGUAGAGAUCCGGAAGAACACCGGUGGCGAAGGCGGCCUGCUGGGCAGUAGCUGACGCUGAUGCGCGACAGCGUGGGGAGCAAACAGGAUUAGAUACCCUGGUAGUCCACGCCGUAAACGAUGGGCACUAGGUGCUUGGGGGAGCGACUCUCUGAGUGCCGGCGCUAACGCAUUAAGUGCCCCGCCUGGGGAGUACGGCCGCAAGGCUG